AAGCUAUGUAGCCAUGCUGGAGAAGUGUUAAGCCACAGCUGCAAGUUUAUGAGUUGGGCUCUGCACCUUGCUAACUACAGGCACAGCUCAGAGCACAAGCAGAGGGAGCUCCCAUCUGCUGGUUGAAGGUGGAGGAUAAAGGAUCACCAUGGCACUGAGACUGGAGACAAUUCUCUUAACACCGAUAGCGUGCAAGCAUGUCCAUUGGAAAAUAAUCUGCCGUUAGUGACUA
Long non-coding RNA from Pezoporus flaviventris, 232 nucleotides. RefSeq lists it as uncharacterized. The record is from RefSeq and is a predicted model, not a curated record. Lineage: Eukaryota; Metazoa; Chordata; Aves; Psittaciformes; Psittacidae. The transcript has 2 exons.